RNAcentral lists this long non-coding RNA (201 nucleotides) under Malus domestica (apple). Its description in RNAcentral is "long non-coding RNA (MDOM_LNC001709)". Lineage: Eukaryota; Viridiplantae; Streptophyta; Magnoliopsida; Rosales; Rosaceae. The record is from RNAcentral.
AAAGAUCCCAUUCCUACAACAUUUACAAGAUCUCCAAUUGGCAUUUGAACCUUGCUUGGAAUGUUGGUUCUCACAUCAACAAGCAAUUCCACAUUCCCUAUCAUAUGGUUGCUACAACCACUGUCAAUGUACCAUUCUCCAUUUACUUUAGUCUCAGUAGUUGCAUUGUUGGCAUAAAACAGAUUCCCAAUCACUUCCACU